This is a long non-coding RNA of Cyprinus carpio carpio, 1322 nucleotides long. NCBI's taxonomy places the organism in Eukaryota, Metazoa, Chordata, Actinopteri, Cypriniformes, Cyprinidae. The record is from Ensembl.
AUUCCAGAGCCUCAGACGUCAUCACUCCAAAAAGAGACAAAGAAUUUGCUCUUGAGGGUGACAAUGUGACACUCUCCUGUAACUACAGCGGCUCUGUUCGUGGUGUUCACUGGUAUCGUCAUUAUGCAGGAUCACCACCACAGUUCCUCAUACUGGAAUAUUCAGAGGUAACAACUCUAGCUAAUCCACCCGUUCCAGGAAUAACCAUCAAUCACAGAAAAACAGAAAGCCAUGUGGAUCUGGAGAUCUCCUCUGCUGCUGUAUCAGACUCUGCUCUGUACUACUGUGCUCUGCAGCCCACACUGACAGGAAAGCAAACUGCACUGUACAAAAACCUCACUGUAUUUUGGGAAAGUAUUAAAAGCAAGGAUAUUUCUACUGAUAUUUUACUAUUCAAUGUACAUAAAAUAUCCAGCUAACCAAUAAAUAAUAAAAACUCAUUCUUCAUGCUUUUAUGUCAUAAUUUAAUCAAAUGUAUAACAUUUAAUAUCCUGCAAUUUAAAUGGAAUUGUAAGCAACAUAAAUAUGCUUUCUGCAAAUCUCAAUAAUUAUUGCUAUAGAAUCCUCAUUUCAAGAUUAUCCCCCUAAAAUGUCACUGAAAUAUGUUGUAACUUGUAAUUUAUCUGUAUCUAUGUAAUACUAUUCUUUAUUGAUUUUAUUAAAAAUGUGGGAUUGUGUUAUAAAUAACAGUCUUGUCUGUCAUAUAUUGUGUGAGAUGAGGGUUGAAUGUUGUCUGAGUAGGAGGAGUUUAGCACAUACAUUGUGAAAUGCAAUAAGACUGUCAACAUUUCACAAGCCUUAUUUGAUUAACAGAUGUUUCUAUGUGUUUCCUGUUCAAACCGGAUUAUUGUGCCAACAUGUUGAUUUAUUUAAUUGCAUUACUAUCAUCAGCUCAAGGUGCCAGAGGGGCAGAAGUCAUCACUCCAUACAGUGAUUAUCAGUUUGCUGAUGAGGGUGAGAGUGUGACACUCUCUUGUAGCUACACUGGUUCUGUUCAAGGUCUUCACUGGUAUCAGCAAUAUGCAGGUUCACCACCAAAAUUCCUCAUACUGGAUUAUUAUGGGGCAGUUACAAAAGCUGAUCCUCCAGUUGCUGGAGUCUCAAUCCAUCACAGAAAAUACAACAGUAGUGUGGAUCUGAAGAUCUCCUCUGCUGCUGUCACUGACUCUGCUCUGUACUAUUGUGCUCUGGACAGGGGCGUCGGAUUUGGGGUAAAACCAGUACUGAUUACCAGGGCCCAAAAGGAAGAGAGGGCCCUUGAAAAGUCUGGAAUAUAUUUUAUUUUACCUGGAUUUUUUCAUUUCCUAAUUAAAUUCAGAUGA